RNAcentral lists this unclassified non-coding RNA (322 nucleotides) under Hevea brasiliensis (rubber tree). Lineage: Eukaryota; Viridiplantae; Streptophyta; Magnoliopsida; Malpighiales; Euphorbiaceae. The record is from RNAcentral.
AAAAAAAAUAAAAAUAAAAAUAAAUCAUAAAGCACGCAACAGGCAGGCCACCACCACUUGCACUAAAUACAAGAAGCACAGCAACGCCCAAAGAGAAAGCACGGAGCAGAACAGCAGCCCCAGGAGAAAAAAUACACAACAGCACAGCAACCCCAGCAGUGAAAAUACACCGCGAUUGCAAAAUGCACCAAUUCUAUUACGGAUAACAGUUAUGGUUGGACAUCGAUAGAAGCUCUCUUCUUGGGCAUAUAGCAGACGUACCCCACAAUUGCGAACAUCAGAACAAGGUAAAGGAUCGCCAUUCAUAUCUUCAGGAUAGAAU